CUACAGUGUUUUUUUUUCUGUAGUAUCUGAUCAAUUACUUACAGUCCGAUUCUUUCCCGUAAAACCGUUCCCGCUGAAAAAUCAAAUAGAGGGAGGGAUUCUUUCUCACGACCAAAACCUCACUGCUUUACAAGUCUCUUGACCUUCUCAAUCCAUCGAGGGUUUGUAUUCUCCGCUCGGCUGGUCCUUCAUCUGCUAUAAUCGUUGUUGUUGCUUAAAAGUUAUAGGUAUUCUAUGGAUUUUUCUAUUUGAUCGUGAAGCUCUGUUCUUUGGUUUGAUUAUUGCUCUUUUUAAAUGAAGAACAAUUUGCACAAUUGUUACUCUUCUCUCUCUCUCUCUCUAUUUUGCCCUAGCAUGUAAGCUAUGCGCUCUCUCAAUUUUGCCCUUCAUUCUGCCCUAGCAUGUAAGAAGAGACGAGGAUGUCUGCUAUGAUCCCAAUGCCUCAUCGAUUCUGCUAUCUCUCCCUCUUGAUUCUUCCCUAGCCCCAGUUGAGGGUCUUGCUGCCUUAGAAUGCUGGGUUCUCUGUGUUUUCGGUUUAAAACCAGAAGCCUGGAUCAGGGAAUAUCCCGCGUCAUCCCUCACAACAGCGACCACAAAGCAGCGUGGUACAGAUUCGACAUGGAGCGCCAAUUUUCAAGCAUUCUAAAGCCUUCCAAACUCCAGACAGGUACAGAUUAGCCUGCAUAUAGCAAAUGGGCCUCCAAGUUCCAAUAAUCUUUCAAAACUCCUCCUUUUAGCUUGAGUGAGGUACAGGGGACAAGGAAUAAAAUAGGGGGAAAGAAGAGAAAAGGGGAGGUAGUGAAUGUGGAUGUUUCUAUUUCUGCUGCCGGGGACUCCCUGAAAUGGAGAUUAUUUGUUGUUUCUUAUUGAAGAUUAUUUGCCCGCAGCAAUGAUUUAUCCAUUUGCUUUUGCUGCUCUUCUUUGGGCAUAUGUUACUGCUGUCUCUAUUUCUGUUGGUUUUCUCGGGCCUGCAACGAUAAUUUUGACAUCAUAUACUGUUGCAGUUUCCUGGCCUGUUACUGCUAUGUUCUGGCUUGUGACUGAUGUAUUCUGCUGCUUAUAUAAUCGUUGUUGGUUUGAUCUGCUUAUGGUUA
Macadamia integrifolia is the source of this 1094-nucleotide long non-coding RNA. RefSeq lists it as uncharacterized. The transcript has 2 exons. The record is from RefSeq and is a predicted model, not a curated record. NCBI's taxonomy places the organism in Eukaryota, Viridiplantae, Streptophyta, Magnoliopsida, Proteales, Proteaceae.